GGAGACGUCGCAUAGUCCGGCCGAGUGCACCACCCUGCUAAGGUGGAGAACCCUUUAGUGGGUUCCGUGGGUUCAAAUCCCACCGUCUCCGCCA
This 94-nucleotide transfer RNA is filed under the name Rathayibacter toxicus. Its description in RNAcentral is "tRNA-Ser". It matches the Rfam family "tRNA". Rfam says of the family: Transfer RNA (tRNA) molecules are approximately 80 nucleotides in length. Their secondary structure includes four short double-helical elements and three loops (D, anti-codon, and T loops). Further hydrogen bonds mediate the characteristic L-shaped molecular structure. tRNAs have two regions of fundamental functional importance: the anti-codon, which is responsible for specific mRNA codon recognition, and the 3' end, to which the tRNAs corresponding amino acid is attached (by aminoacyl-tRNA synthetases). tRNAs cope with the degeneracy of the genetic code in two manners: having more than one tRNA (with a specific anti-codon) for a particular amino acid; and 'wobble' base-pairing, i.e. permitting non-standard base-pairing at the 3rd anti-codon position. The record is from RNAcentral. Lineage: Bacteria; Bacillati; Actinomycetota; Actinomycetes; Micrococcales; Microbacteriaceae.